CCUACGGGUGGCAGCAGUGAGGAAUAUUGGUCAAUGGGCGCGAGCCUGAACCAGCCAAGUAGCGUGAAGGAUGACUGCCCUACGGGUUGUAAACUUCUUUUAUAAAGGAAUAAAGUGAUGCACGUGUGCAUUUUUGCAUGUACUUUAUGAAUAAGCAUCGGCUAACUCCGUGCCAGCAGCCGCGGUAAUACGGAGGAUCCGAGCGUUAUCCGGAUUUAUUGGGUUUAAAGGGAGCGUAGAUGGUUUGUUAAGUCAGUUGUGAAAGUUUGCGGCUCAACCGUAAAAUUGCCAUUGAUACUGGAAGACUUGAGUGUGGUUGAGGUAGGCGGAAUUCGUGGUGUAGCGGUGAAAUGCAUAGAUAUCACGAAGAACUCCGAUUGCGAAGGCAGCUUACUAAGCUGCCACUGACAUUGAUGCACGAAAGUGUGGGUAUCAAACAGGAUUAGAUACCCGUGUAGUC
Molecule: ribosomal RNA, 460 nt
Filed under: uncultured bacterium
Lineage: Bacteria
Description: partial 16S ribosomal RNA
Rfam family: Bacterial small subunit ribosomal RNA
Source: RNAcentral